RNAcentral lists this ribosomal RNA (505 nucleotides) under Glomus sp. MO-G5. Its description in RNAcentral is "SSU rRNA". It matches the Rfam family "Eukaryotic small subunit ribosomal RNA", at positions 569 to 1078 of the family's 1831-position model. The record is from RNAcentral. RNAcentral also lists the same sequence under 2 other names. Lineage: Eukaryota; Fungi; Glomeromycota; Glomeromycetes; Glomerales; Glomeraceae.
AGCAGCCGCGGUAAUUCCAGCUCCAAUAGCGUAUAUUAAAGUUGUUGCAGUUAAAAAGCUCGUAGUUGAAUUUCGGGAUUAGUACGUUGGUCGUGCCUUCGGUACGUACUGGUGUUACUGAUUCCUACCUUCUGACGAACCAUCAUGUCAUUAAUUUGGUGUGGCGGGGAAUCAGGACUGUUACUUUGAAAAAAUUAGAGUGUUUAAAGCAGGCUCGCGCUUGAAUACAUUAGCAUGGAAUAAUGAAAUAGGACGUUGACCCUAUUUUGUUGGUUUCUAGGAUUGACGUAAUGAUUAAUAGGGAUAGUUGGGGGCAUUAGUAUUCAAUUGUCAGAGGUGAAAUUCUUGGAUUUAUUGAAGACUAACUACUGCGAAAGCAUUUGCCAAGGAUGUUUUCAUUAAUCAAGAACGAAAGUUAGGGGAUCGAAGACGAUCAGAUACCGUCGUAGUCUUAACCAUAAACUAUGCCGACUAGGGAUCGGAUGAUGUUAUUUUUAAUGACUCA